GAUGAACGCUAGCUACAGGCUUAACACAUGCAAGUCGAGGGGCAGCGGGAUUGAAGCUUGCUUCAAUUGCCGGCGACCGGCGCACGGGUGAGUAACGCGUAUCCAACCUUCCGUACACUCAGGGAUAGCCUUUCGAAAGAAAGAUUAAUACCUGAUGGUAUGAUGAGAUUGCAUGAUAGCAUCAUUAAAGAUUUAUCGGUGUACGAUGGGGAUGCGUUCCAUUAGGUAGUAGGCGGGGUAACGGCCCACCUAGCCGACGAUGGAUAGGGGUUCUGAGAGGAAGGUCCCCCACAUUGGAACUGAGACACGGUCCAAACUCCUACGGGAGGCAGCAGUGAGGAAUAUUGGUCAAUGGACGAGAGUCUGAACCAGCCAAGUAGCGUGAAGGAUGAAGGUCCUACGGAUUGUAAACUUCUUUAUAAGGGAAUAAACCCUCCACGUGUGGGAGCUUGUAUGUACCUUAUGAUAAGCAUCGGCUAACUCCGUGCCAGCA
Molecule: ribosomal RNA, 493 nt
Filed under: uncultured bacterium
Lineage: Bacteria
Description: bacterial SSU rRNA
Rfam family: Bacterial small subunit ribosomal RNA
Source: RNAcentral